RNAcentral lists this unclassified non-coding RNA (229 nucleotides) under uncultured fungus. Its description in RNAcentral is "sequence contains ITS1, 5.8S rRNA gene". The stretch from base 181 to 229 matches the Rfam family "5.8S ribosomal RNA", at positions 1 to 49 of the family's 154-position model. The record is from RNAcentral. Lineage: Eukaryota; Fungi.
UCUCCGUAGGUGAACCUGCGGAGGGAUCAUUACUGAGUGAGGGUUUAACCGCCCGACCUCCAACCCUUUGUGAACCCCAUCUCGUUGCUUCGGGGGCGACCCUGCCGUUCCGGCACCGGCGCCCCCGGAGGCUCAUCAAACACUGCAUCUUUGCGUCGGAGUCUUAAUGAAUUUAAACAAAACUUUUAACAACGGAUCUCUUGGUUCUGGCAUCGAUGAAGAACGCAGC